Molecule: ribosomal RNA, 458 nt
Filed under: Priestia flexa
Lineage: Bacteria; Bacillati; Bacillota; Bacilli; Caryophanales; Bacillaceae
Description: bacterial SSU rRNA
Rfam family: Bacterial small subunit ribosomal RNA
Source: RNAcentral
AAAAAAAAAAAAAUGACGUGCUUAACACAUGCAAGUCGAGCGAACUGAUUAGAAGCUUGCUUCUAUGACGUUAGCGGCGGACGGGUGAGUAACACGUGGGCAACCUGCCUGUAAGACUGGGAUAACUCCGGGAAACCGGAGCUAAUACCGGAUAACAUUUUUUCUUGCAUAAGAGAAAAUUGAAAGAUGGUUUCGGCUAUCACUUACAGAUGGGCCCGCGGUGCAUUAGCUAGUUGGUGAGGUAACGGCUCACCAAGGCAACGAUGCAUAGCCAACCUGAGAGGGUGAUCGGCCACACUGGGACUGAGACACGGCCCAGACUCCUACGGGAGGCAGCAGUAGGGAAUCUUCCGCAAUGGACGAAAGUCUGACGGAGCAACGCCGCGUGAGUGAUGAGGCUUUCGGGUCGUAAAACUCUGUUGUUAGGGAAGAACAAGUACAAGAGUAACUGCUGACUG